This 664-nucleotide ribosomal RNA is filed under the name Firmicutes bacterium TH-S35. Its description in RNAcentral is "bacterial SSU rRNA". It matches the Rfam family "Bacterial small subunit ribosomal RNA", at positions 46 to 692 of the family's 1533-position model. The record is from RNAcentral. Lineage: Bacteria; Bacillati; Bacillota.
GCCUAAUACAUGCAAGUCGAGCGGAUCGAUGGGAGCUUGCUCCCUGAGAUCAGCGGCGGACGGGUGAGUAACACGUGGGUAACCUGCCUGUAAGACUGGGAUAACUCCGGGAAACCGGGGCUAAUACCGGAUAACACCUACCCCCGCAUGGGGGAAGGUUGAAAGGUGGCUUCGGCUAUCACUUACAGAUGGACCCGCGGCGCAUUAGCUAGUUGGUGAGGUAAUGGCUCACCAAGGCGACGAUGCGUAGCCGACCUGAGAGGGUGAUCGGCCACACUGGGACUGAGACACGGCCCAGACUCCUACGGGAGGCAGCAGUAGGGAAUCUUCCGCAAUGGACGAAAGUCUGACGGAGCAACGCCGCGUGAGUGAAGAAGGUUUUCGGAUCGUAAAACUCUGUUGUUAGGGAAGAACAAGUGCCGUUCGAAUAGGGCGGCGCCUUGACGGUACCUAACCAGAAAGCCACGGCUAACUACGUGCCAGCAGCCGCGGUAAUACGUAGGUGGCAAGCGUUGUCCGGAAUUAUUGGGCGUAAAGCGCGCGCAGGUGGUUUCUUAAGUCUGAUGUGAAAGCCCACGGCUCAACCGUGGAGGGUCAUUGGAAACUGGGGAACUUGAGUGCAGAAGAGGAAAGUGGAAUUCCAAGUGUAGCGGUGAAAUGCGUA